This 859-nucleotide long non-coding RNA is filed under the name Anser brachyrhynchus (Pink-footed goose). RNAcentral's name for it is "lncRNA (ENSABRG00000012389.1)". The record is from RNAcentral. Lineage: Eukaryota; Metazoa; Chordata; Aves; Anseriformes; Anatidae.
ACUUCCCCAUGACCACAGAGGCAGAAUUUGGAAUGAGCAACUGACAGACCCGAAGGGAGAACCUACAGUUUAUACACUUCUCCCAGCUUAGAGAAAAGGAGUAUGGUGCCAUUACAUGGCAUCUUCACCCAUCGCCAGCCUUUCUACAUCUAGAAGAAGUCCAAUAGCUUUUGGGAAGAUUUUGGAGGAAGGCGGGAGAAGAAGGGAUUCUUCAGAGACUGAAACAGAGAUCUUUCUUUCAGGUAUCAGAAUUUCAAUCCUGGAAAGAUAUUAUUCUGCCUAUAUAACUGAGCAAUAAGCAGAUCCUGGGCAGGAAUGGAGGCUGCAGCAUUUAAUCAACACAGCCAUGGACUGGGAGAUCUGGAUUACAUUCCUGUCUCUGCAGUGGACACUGGAAACGUACUCCCCUGUGCUCUACGUGUCUCCACCUGCAAGGUGCAAAUCACUAUCACUUACAAAUUGCAGGAAAAACAAUGGAGUGGAGGUUGUCUUCUGGUCAGAUUUUGACAGGAAUGCAUGGCUUGACAUGCACUGGAGAAAGCAUGGGCUGUUCCUGGAGGUGUUGCCUUCCUUAUUUUGAAAUGUAAUUAAAAAAAAAAAAAAGUACAGAAAAUGUGCCUUUAAAACUGGAAUAUAUCCCAAAACUUCGCAUUUAUUGUUAAUUUUUCUGGUGGGAUUCUAGCAGCUAGUUAGUCUUUCUAGGCUAUGUUUUCUGGUACUUUACCUCACCUCAACUGCGUUUAUUUAUAACCUGAAAGCUCACGUUACCAAAUGUUCUUUUUCUUACCUUUUAUAUCCCUUGAGACAUAUAACUCUGGCCUAGAUUAAAGACAAUAAAAGAGAGACAGGAAAUGCUGCA